AAUCCCUCCGUAUGUUUCCCACAAUUUUCACAGUGCCGCCUAAAUGAAAAAAAAAAAAAAAAAGCAAUCCCUCCUUAUUCAUCACAUAUUUUUUGAUAAUCUCAAAAAAUAAAAAUACAUGGUGGGACCUUCAGUAACUACAACCUACAGAGGCUAGAUCUUUUUAUCGAAAAUUACACCACGACGUUUCUAGCUCUCACAAGCUUUCAUUUCUAUCCAAAUGUUUUUAAAAUCUUUUCAUUCAAUGGAGAAAAUGAUUCCUUGUUGAAACUUGCUCGAUCCAAAUUCUCAAUCUCACUGAAGAGUUCAAAAUCGCUUGCAAGAGAGUCGAAAAUUGCUAGUUUAUUCACUAAUUUCGAGACCCCUAACUUAACCGGUUCCGAAAUGCAAAUUAGGAUAAAAGAUUUUCAUUCUCAAAGCAUCUAAUUCAAGAAUAUCUUGGAAGCUCAACAGUGAAAUUAACCUUCCAACGUAGCUCCUUCUUACAAUCUCCACUUUUUCCUCGAUCUAACUUCUUCCAUGUGUUAACUAAAGAAUUUCCUUUCUAUGGAGGACAAACAUCUUCACCUGUGUUUCUUAUUUCAUUCCGAUCAAGUACGUUAUUCUUUAUAUGAUCUCUUUUCCUAUUUUUACGGUUUAAGAUUUGAUAAAAGUCAAUUGUUUGCAAUAAAUUUUAAACAUAUGGAAAAUCAAAAAAUCAUACAAAUAAAAUAUGAAGAAACAUGAUUUUAUUGAUUAAGAUAGCGGGUACAAUUCUAUU
RNAcentral lists this long non-coding RNA (760 nucleotides) under Solanum lycopersicum (tomato). RNAcentral's name for it is "partial TCONS_00113853". Lineage: Eukaryota; Viridiplantae; Streptophyta; Magnoliopsida; Solanales; Solanaceae. The record is from RNAcentral.